This 453-nucleotide ribosomal RNA is filed under the name Gemella morbillorum. Its description in RNAcentral is "bacterial SSU rRNA". It matches the Rfam family "Bacterial small subunit ribosomal RNA", at positions 28 to 468 of the family's 1533-position model. Lineage: Bacteria; Bacillati; Bacillota; Bacilli; Caryophanales; Gemellaceae. The record is from RNAcentral.
GACGAACGCUGGCGGCGUGCCUAAUACAUGCAAGUCGAGCGAAGUUUUUCUGGUGCUUGCACUAGAAAAACUUAGCGGCGAACGGGUGAGUAACACGUAAAGAACCUGCCUCAUAGACUGGGACAACUAUUGGAAACGAUAGCUAAUACCGGAUAACAAUAUUUUUCGCAUGAAAGAUACUUAAAAGUUGGUUAUGCUAACACUAUGAGAUGGCUUUGCGGUGCAUUAGCUAGUUGGUGGGGUAAAGGCCCACCAAGGCGACGAUGCAUAGCCGACCUGAGAGGGUGAUCGGCCACACUGGGACUGAGACACGGCCCAGACUCCUACGGGAGGCAGCAGUAGGGAAUCUUCCGCAAUGGGCGAAAGCCUGACGGAGCAACGCCGCGUGAGUGAAGAAGGAUUUCGGUUCGUAAAGCUCUGUUGUUAGGGAAGAAUGGAUAUGUAGUAACUAUA